Molecule: ribosomal RNA, 253 nt
Filed under: uncultured bacterium
Lineage: Bacteria
Description: partial 16S ribosomal RNA
Rfam family: Bacterial small subunit ribosomal RNA
Source: RNAcentral
GACGGAGGGUGCAAGCGUUGUUCGGAAUCACUGGGCGUAAAGCGCGUGUAGGCGGUUGGAUAAGUCGGAUGUGAAAUCCCGGGGCCUAACUCCGGAAGUGCAUUCGAAACUGUUCAGCUAGAGUACGGGAGAGGGGAGUGGAAUUCCUGGUGUAGAGGUGAAAUUCGUAGAUAUCAGGAGGAACACCGGUGGCGAAGGCGGCUCUCUGGACCGAUACUGACGCUGAGACGCGAAAGCGUGGGGAGCAAACAGG